RNAcentral lists this ribosomal RNA (150 nucleotides) under Staphylea pinnata. RNAcentral's name for it is "5.8S ribosomal RNA". It matches the Rfam family "5.8S ribosomal RNA". Rfam says of the family: 5.8S ribosomal RNA (5.8S rRNA) is a component of the large subunit of the eukaryotic ribosome. It is transcribed by RNA polymerase I as part of the 45S precursor that also contains 18S and 28S rRNA. The record is from RNAcentral. Lineage: Eukaryota; Viridiplantae; Streptophyta; Magnoliopsida; Crossosomatales; Staphyleaceae.
AACGGAUAUCUCGGCUCUCGCAUCGAUGAAGAACGUAGCGAAAUGCGAUACUUGGUGUGAAUUGCAGAAUCCCGUGAACCAUCGAGUCUUUGAACGCAAGUUGCGCCCAAAGCCAUUAGGCCGAGGGCACGUCUGYCUGGGCGUCACACA